CAAUAGCGUAUAUUAAAGUUGUUGCAGUUAAAAAGCUCGUAGUUGGAUUUGUGGCGUACGGUGUGUUCCGGGCACUUGUUGUCUGAGUAACCUGCUGUUGCCAUCCUUGGGUGGAACCUGUGUGGCAGUAGGUUGUCGUGCAGGGGAUGCCCAUCAUUUACUGUGAAACAAUUAGAGUGUUCAAAGCAGGCUUAUGCCGUUGAAUAUAUUAGCAUGGAAUAAUGAGAUAGGACUUUUUUGCUAUUUUGUUGGUUUGCGCAAAGAGGUAAUGAUUAAUAGGGACAGUUGGGGGUAUUCGUAUUCCAUUGUCAGAGGUGAAAUUCUUGGAUUUUUGGAAGACGAACUACUGCGAAAGCAUUUACCAAGGAUGUUUUCAUUAA
RNAcentral lists this ribosomal RNA (380 nucleotides) under uncultured eukaryote. RNAcentral describes it as "partial 18S ribosomal RNA". It matches the Rfam family "Eukaryotic small subunit ribosomal RNA", at positions 592 to 976 of the family's 1831-position model. The record is from RNAcentral.